CCUACGGGAGGCAGCAGUGAGGAAUAUUGGUCAAUGGACGAGAGUCUGAACCAGCCAAGUAGCGUGAAGGAUGACUGCCCUAUGGGUUGUAAACUUCUUUUAUAUGGGAAUAAAACGUUCCACGUGUGGGAUUUUGUAUGUACCAUAUGAAUAAGGAUCGGCUAACUCCGUGCCAGCAGCCGCGGUAAUACGGAGGAUCCGAGCGUUAUCCGGAUUUAUUGGGUUUAAAGGGAGCGUAGGUGGAUUGUUAAGUCAGUUGUGAAAGUUUGCGGCUCAACCGUAAAAUUGCAGUUGAAACUGGCAGUCUUGAGUACAGUAGAGGUGGGCGGAAUUCGUGGUGUAGCGGUGAAAUGCUUAGAUAUCACGAAGAACUCCGAUUGCGAAGGCAGUUCACUGGACUGCAUCUGACACUGAGGCUCGAAAGUGUGGGUAUCAAACAGGAUUAGAUACCCUUGUAGUC
This 460-nucleotide ribosomal RNA is filed under the name uncultured bacterium. RNAcentral describes it as "partial 16S ribosomal RNA". It matches the Rfam family "Bacterial small subunit ribosomal RNA", at positions 338 to 795 of the family's 1533-position model. The record is from RNAcentral.